AAGGUAGCAUAAUAAUUUGCCUUAUAAUAGAGGGCUGGUAUGAAAGAGUUGUCACUGCUAAAGCUUUAUGUUUAAAUAAAUUUUGAAAUUGGUAUUUCCGUUAAAAAACGAAAAUACCUCAAGGGACGAUAAGACCCUAUAAAACUUUUAACUAAAAAAUUAAGUUUAAUUAUUUAAGAAGCCUGGCAAAUUAGUUGAGCUGGGGCGGCAUUUAUUUUCCUAUAAAAAAGAAAACAGAAAUAUUUGGAGUCUUAGAUCUUAAAAAAGAAAUAGAACAAGUUACUUUAGGGAUAACAGCGCAAUUCUUUAUUAUAGUCCUGAUAGAUUAAAGAGACUUGCGACCUCGAUGUUGAAUUGAGGGGCUUUUUUUGAGCAGAAACAAAUUUAAGAGGUCUGUUCGACCUUUAA
RNAcentral lists this ribosomal RNA (408 nucleotides) under Eurycope complanata. RNAcentral's name for it is "partial 16S ribosomal RNA". It matches the Rfam family "Archaeal large subunit ribosomal RNA", at positions 2030 to 2660 of the family's 2987-position model. Lineage: Eukaryota; Metazoa; Arthropoda; Malacostraca; Isopoda; Munnopsidae. The record is from RNAcentral.